CACAACUGCUGAGUCAUUUAGCCAAACCUCUAGACUCCCGAAGUUGACACAAUGUAUCAACCAUAACAUUCCUCUCCCCUUUUGUUUUCCUCCCACACUUUUACUCUCUAUCCAACAUUCACAUUGGUCCCUUUUCCUUUGUGCUUGCAUCAACCCUCACGUCUGCCUUGUUAUCUCUCUCCGUGUGUUGUUCUUGCUCUCUCCUGUCACCCUUUCCCUGUCCUGCCUUCCUGCUCCUGGGCUUGGACUCCCUACUGUCUGGCUCUUCUCUACCUCUCUGCCUGGCUGCAGCCUCUGGGAUGCUGGAGAGCAGUUGUGACUCUAGGACCUGUCCUGUGAACAGCUGGGCACUGGCUCUUACUGGCUUCAUUUCCUUAGAAGAGACAGAUUCAGGGCGAAGAGCUGUGUAGUGGGAGAGCCCAGGAGAUUCUGGAAAGACACAUUCGUCUGGAUCUCGAGCUCUGGGUUUGAGACGUCAUGUUAUUGGUUUGUUUCAGGCUGGAUACUGCGAGGUGCCUCCUGCCUGACCUGUAUUAAAAAAGAGGGCUUUCAAGACCAGGUAGCACGGCUCUUUUCAGUUUGUCACGUGCAGGCUGCAAACCUUACUCGCACUGGAAAAGGUUGGAGGAAUGCGGGUUUUGAGCAGUGGACAAACUAUCUGAUUCCUUCUCCUCCUUGGGGAUGGUCUGUGGAAGGCGGCUGCAGGAGGAGGGAGGCAGGGUGAUAGGGCCGGGGAAACCAGGGGGAUCCAGGAGAAGGCUGCUGCGUGCUUGGCAGUUUCUCGGUGAUGAGAGCUCCUUUUUAUUUUUUAUUUUGCAACAGGGUCUUUUGCAUUGCCCAUGUGAUCUUCUGUGAUCUUCCUGCCUCAGCCUCCUGAGGAGCUGGGAUUACAGGUGUGCAUCAGUACACAUGGCCAAACAUUCACUUUUUAGUUUGUGACCACAAAGCUCCAGAAAUCUAGAAACCUAAAGGUGAGCUCUUCUGUAGCUAUGUGUGACCAUGGCAGUGUAAAGGAUAAAGAAAUUACAUAAAGGCAAAAUUUAUUUCAAGCACAGAAAAGCCUAGAGUUGCUCAUCCAAAGUCUCAGGAAGACAGCCCCAACCUGAAAGCUCCAUGAUUUUUUAUUGAUAACUCGAGGACAUGAGAAUAAAGAUACAGAAGAGAAACAUUUGCGCAUUUAUGUAGGACUUCUGGUCAGGGGAUGGGAAAGGAGUGAGACGGUUUGCUCUGUGACAGUGUUGACCUAAUUUAAGCAGGUUUAGUGGGUAGGAAACUUAUGAGAGGGCAGGAGGAACUCGAUGGCCAGAAGAAACAUCUCUGAGAAUUACUUCUUAUUGAUUCUGCUCAGCUGAUGUCGUUGCAGAUCUAUUCUAAUCUUUAGCCAUGCAAUCCAGGAGCCUGGGUUCCAAGGUCCCCUUCUGUUUACACUCAUUUCAAUCACUCCUCUGGUCAGAGUGCUCCACAGUUCCCUCCAUUUUUUGUUUUAUAACCAAGAUUUAGCAGAAGAGAGAGAACAGAGAAGAGGGGUAUUGGACUUGGUGUAAGACGGUCAUUAUGGCUUCCGCAUGGAGGUUCCUUUGGGACAGCAUACCGAGUGCCUUUAGGACCACAAGAAAGUAGAGAAAAAAGAUUAUUCCAAUAGCUGUAAGAAUACAAAUACAAAGUUUGCAACUAGAGAACCAGUUUUUAGGAGCUAUUAGUCAAUAUCAUUGAGAUGAUCUAGAGGUAUGCUGUGAGACUCCAUUUAAAGUUUAUGAAGUCGAGCUUGAAGUCUCUUUUGGAGAUUAGCAAUAUUUCUGUCCAGAUUUGUGUGAAUGCACCGUGGAGAAAAUGUGGAACCUCCUCCUAAGGUUCAGAGUCAUCAAAAGGAAUAGAAGUAAUUCACAUGGCGUGAUACUCAGUAUCAUGAUUAAGCCUUCCACGUGUCCAUAGGGCCUGCUGAUGUUUGCCAAGCCAGCUGACAGCAGCCCCAAAGGUCAAGUAUUUGUAGAAUUUCUUUAUCAGUGCUAUUUAAUUAAUAAAGUAAUUCUGAGGUAACAUUUUGACAAUGGCCACUCAUGGUCUGAAUAGUUUGGACAGAGUGAAUCAUAACCACCAUGUGGUUGCCACUGUAAUGGUCAAUGUAGUAGCUGCAAUAAUAGUUGGAAUUGAAAGCCCAGAAAACAUUUUUGUCUGAUAUGUUCAAGUACAGAGGUAAUUUUUAAAAAAUUUUAAACUGUUCACGAAUUUUUACCAUUCUCUCUGAAAUUCCAGACUUCUCCUAUCUUCUAUUUUUAAGUUAAUUUUAUUGGUGUAUUUUAGAUAUACAUAAUGAUAACAUUCAUCAUAUGGAAUUUCUACCUGUACAUGAUAUAUCUUGAUUCUUCUUUUUCCAGUUUUCUUCCCCUCCCUUCAAUUCUUCUUCCCCUCUUUAUCUACAAAAACUCUAUUUCUAUUUUUUAAUUCUAUUCUAUUUUUUUCUUGUCCCUUCCUUCCUUUCUCCUUCCUUCAUCCCUAGUUCCCCUUCCCAUUUGAACAUUUUCUUCCUAUUUUAUAAUAUCUAUUAUACAUUUUGGUCUUAUUUAUACUUUUGGUUUCUCAUACAGAGAAACCAUAUGAUAUUAGAACAUGUGUGUCCAUUUUAUUUCACCAUAACCCCUGAAAGGGGAUAGACAGGCUCUGAUAGUAAAAGAAGUGUUACUGGAGAAGGGUGCUCACAAUCUCCCCAGGUGAUUACAUCAAAUCCAGAAGAUGUAAGUAUAUGUACCCAAUAUGCCAUGACACUUGCAUUUGGUGUACAGCUAAACAGAAGCUUAAUAAAAAGGAACACUUUUAUCUUUGCCACAUUAGAAUUCUAGGUGACUUUUGCUGUCAUUGCCAAGAAGAAAUUUUCUAGGGUGAAAGGAAUGUCAGAGCUCUGCGGUGUUUGUUUGGCUUCAGCAAUGAGUUGUUUAAUCUCUCCCCAUCCCAAGAGGGGGUUGAAGCACCAUCUCCUGUAACUCAGGGAUAGAGCUACUUCUCUCCUGGUCCCACAUGAUAUGGAUGAACAGCAUUUGUGAGAACAAAAAGAGGACCUGUGUGUUAUACACAGGUGCAUAUCCCUCCCCCAGGUUAAUAAUUCUGUUGGGCCUAUCCAUUGUGGGCCCAACAAUGCAUGAUGGAAAAACCCCAAUGGUUUUGGCCUGUCUUUUGUGGAAAUAAAGUAUUUCUCUACACUGUGAAAUCUUCUCCUUUUUGUUUUAAUAAUUGGGCCUUAAGAGCUUAUUAACUCUUAAGGGUUAUGAGUUCUGUAGGGUUAUGAGGUAUAUCUAUGACACGGGUAGUAUACAAAGAUGAAAGAAAGUUUGAAGAGAGUAGGAGGUGUAGGCAGGGCUGUUAUUAGUUUUAACUUGUAAGAGUAAUAAAAGCUUGAGAGAAAAUGACAUGUGAAAUGUAUUGCAGUUUUAUUGGGUUGUAAAGAGGCAUAUAUAUAACCAGAGUAGGUAUGAGACUUGGAUAAAGUUGUUUACCGAAAGAUUUAUAGUGAGUCACAUCCAUUUGCCAAAUUUCAUUACUUUUUAAAUGAUUGGUAUUACCUCUAUAUAGGAG
Chinchilla lanigera (long-tailed chinchilla) is the source of this 3567-nucleotide long non-coding RNA. The record is from Ensembl. NCBI's taxonomy places the organism in Eukaryota, Metazoa, Chordata, Mammalia, Rodentia, Chinchillidae.